Caenorhabditis elegans is the source of this 125-nucleotide non-coding RNA. Lineage: Eukaryota; Metazoa; Nematoda; Chromadorea; Rhabditida; Rhabditidae. The record is from Ensembl.
CAAUCUUUAUCCAUCCGUUGUCGUCCAGCUUCUAGAUUGUUUUGAAACAAGCUCACGGGAUUUUAGAUUUGGACAUGAGAUGUAUAGUCGCAUGUUUCACUUAUUAAAACUAAUGAGAUGUUUCU